AUUGACUGAAGCUGAUCUUUCAAUAUGAACAAAACGAAUGUUGUGAAUCCCCGAGCCUCCAAGGCCGGAUCGAACCACACCAAUACAAAGAAUAAUGAUGUGUGGAGCGACGGAGAGUGGUAACCACCGAACAAAGUUUAUUGUGCAAGCAAGAAACAACAAAACACCACCUAGAUCUAAUCUAGGAAACAAGUGUGAAACACAAAGCAACAAUCACAAGAUACAAGGAGAGGGAAGAAGAAAACAAUAAACACAAAGAGAUUGUUCACCCAGUUCGGUCCAAACUUGACCUACUCUGGAGGAGAGAUUGUACUCUCCAAUCCACUAUCAAAUGAGUUCUUUACAAAAGGGAUACAAGAGGUUACAAGAAAUUAGCUUGACAAGUUCACUAUGAACAAACCCUAAUUUCUACCCCUUUCCCAAUCUCACCAAGACACUCAAUGAUUCUCUCUACAAGGUGUUUCCCAUGUUUUCAACCCAAGAGAUACUCUAAUCAAAGAACCCUAAACCCUAGAGCUUCCCCUUUGAUUUCCCAAGUCUCUCUCUUCCAACUCUCUCCUUCAAAUCUGCACAAGAACACUUAAGUACUAGUCUUCCUCUGUUCCAAUCGUGUCACGAUUUUCCCAAUCGUGUCACGAUUUGCGUCCGUCCCAAGGAACGACCAGUCCUUAUCAAGGAUACUUAACGAGCAAGUUU
RNAcentral lists this long non-coding RNA (696 nucleotides) under Medicago truncatula (barrel medic). RNAcentral describes it as "long non-coding RNA (MTRU_LNC008213)". Lineage: Eukaryota; Viridiplantae; Streptophyta; Magnoliopsida; Fabales; Fabaceae. The record is from RNAcentral.